RNAcentral lists this ribosomal RNA (472 nucleotides) under uncultured bacterium. RNAcentral describes it as "SSU rRNA". It matches the Rfam family "Bacterial small subunit ribosomal RNA", at positions 26 to 507 of the family's 1533-position model. The record is from RNAcentral.
AGGAUGAACGCUGGCGGCGUGCCUAACACAUGCAAGUCGAACGCUCUCCAUUCGGUAGCAAUACUGAUGAAGAGGGAGUGGCGAACGGGUGAGUACCACGUGAGCAACCUGCCCCGAAGACUGGGACAACACCGGGAAACCGGUGCUAAUACCGGAUAUCCCUAUCGGAUCGCAUGAUCUGAUAAGGAAAUGGAUUCCGCUUCGGGAGGGGCUCGCGGCCUAUCAGCUAGUUGGUGAGGUAAUAGCUCACCAAGGCAUCGACGGGUAGCUGGUCUGAGAGGACGAUCAGCCACACUGGGACUGAGACACGGCCCAGACUCCUACGGGAGGCAGCAGUGGGGAAUCUUGCGCAAUGGGCGAAAGCCUGACGCAGCAACGCCGCGUGGAGGACGAAUGCUUUCUGAGUUGUAAACUCCUUUCAGCAGGGACGAUUGUGACGGUACCUGCAGAAGAAGCACCGGCCAACUACGCG